UCAACUAUGAACACGAUGGUACAA
Molecule: non-coding RNA, 24 nt
Filed under: Arabidopsis thaliana (thale cress)
Lineage: Eukaryota; Viridiplantae; Streptophyta; Magnoliopsida; Brassicales; Brassicaceae
Source: RNAcentral